Molecule: small nucleolar RNA, 127 nt
Organism: Melanotaenia boesemani (Boeseman's rainbowfish)
Lineage: Eukaryota; Metazoa; Chordata; Actinopteri; Atheriniformes; Melanotaeniidae
Product: small nucleolar RNA SNORA13
Exons: 1
Source: RefSeq, a predicted model, not a curated record
UGCCUUUAUGUGUUGCCCUUUCACUGUUCCUGUGGUGAUUGGGGUGUCAAAUAAGGCAUACAGUGAUGGUUGUGGUUGUCUACGAAAUGAGAUUUAAAGAAACUCAUUUACACAAACAACUACAUGG